This 238-nucleotide ribosomal RNA is filed under the name uncultured bacterium. RNAcentral describes it as "partial 16S ribosomal RNA". It matches the Rfam family "Bacterial small subunit ribosomal RNA", at positions 114 to 353 of the family's 1533-position model. The record is from RNAcentral.
UGUCUGGGAAACUGCCUGAUGGAGGGGGAUAACUACUGGAAACGGUAGCUAAUACCGCAUAACGUCGCAAGACCAAAGAGGGGGACCUUCGGGCCUCUUGCCAUCGGAUGUGCCCAGAUGGGAUUAGCUAGUAGGUGGGGUAACGGCUCACCUAGGCGACGAUCCCUAGCUGGUCUGAGAGGAUGACCAGCCACACUGGAACUGAGACACGGUCCAGACUCCUACGGGAGGCAGCAUG